UUAAUAACACUUUGGCUAAUUCGGAGUAGAAGAAUGUCAAAAACAAGGAUCAAAACAGGAGCAUAUUGAAUUCCUACAAGUGACCUAAGUCCUGAAAUUUAUGUUUUUCCUCAACUGUGCACCCUGUUAUCUCACCAUUUUAUAUCUAACCUCAAGCCAGAUCUUUAAUAUAAGUUGUAGUUCCUUGAGUGUGUUCCAACUUUGUUACACUGACCUAGGUCCAAAUCGCAACCGAACUUGCUCAAAAACUUAGUCAAAAUCGGGUAAAAC
Molecule: long non-coding RNA, 270 nt
Filed under: Setaria viridis
Lineage: Eukaryota; Viridiplantae; Streptophyta; Magnoliopsida; Poales; Poaceae
Description: long non-coding RNA (SVIR_LNC007831)
Source: RNAcentral